UACGUAGGGGGCAAGCGUUAUCCGGAAUUACUGGGUGUAAAGGGAGCGUAGACGGUAAUGUAAGUCUGGAGUGAAAGGCGGGGGCCCAACCCCCGGACUGCUCUGGAAACUAUGUUACUAGAGUGCAGGAGAGGUAAGCGGAAUCCCUAGUGUAGCGGUGAAAUGCGUAGAUAUUAGGAGGAACACCAGUGGCGAAGGCGGCUUACUGGACUGUAACUGACGUUGAGGCUCGAAAGCGUGGGGAGCAAACAGG
This 253-nucleotide ribosomal RNA is filed under the name uncultured bacterium. Its description in RNAcentral is "partial 16S ribosomal RNA". It matches the Rfam family "Bacterial small subunit ribosomal RNA", at positions 524 to 776 of the family's 1533-position model. The record is from RNAcentral.